This 503-nucleotide ribosomal RNA is filed under the name uncultured bacterium. Its description in RNAcentral is "bacterial SSU rRNA". It matches the Rfam family "Bacterial small subunit ribosomal RNA", at positions 28 to 512 of the family's 1533-position model. The record is from RNAcentral.
GACGAACGCUGGCGGCGUGCCUAAUGCAUGCAAGUCGAGCGGGCUACGAUCUUCGGAUUGUAGCUUAGCGGCGAACGGGUGAGUAACACGUAGGUAAUCUACCCUUCAGAGGAGGACAACCUCAGGAAACUGAGGCUAAACCUUCAUACGUUCACUGGUAGGGAUACUGGUGAAGAAAGAGUUACCUUAAAGGUAGCUGCUGAAGGAUGAGCCUGCGGCCCAUCAGGUAGUUGGUGAGGUAACGGCUCACCAAGCCGAAGACGGGUAACCGGUCUGAGAGGAUGUCCGGUCACACUGGGACUGAGACACGGCCCAGACUCCUACGGGAGGCAGCAGCAGGGAAUCUUGGGCAAUGGGCGAAAGCCUGACCCAGCGACGCCGCGUGAACGAGGGAGCCCUUCGGGGUGUAAAGUUCUUUUCUAUACGAGCAGUGCUAUAUAUAUGGGUAGUAUAUAUAGAGGGAUAGUAGUAUAGGAAUAAGCAACGGCUAACUCCGUGCCAGC